UACGUAUGGUGCAAGCGUUAUCCGGAUUUACUGGGUGUAAAGGGAGCGCAGGCGGUACUGCAAGUCUGGUGUGAAAGCCCGGGGCUCAACCCCGGGACUGCACUGGAAACUGCAGGACUGGAGUGUCGGAGGGGUAAGCGGAAUUCCUGGUGUAGCGGUGAAAUGCGUAGAUAUCAGGAGGAACACCGGUGGCGAAGGCGGCUUACUGGACGAUGACUGACGCUGAGGCUCGAAAGCGUGGGGAGCAAACA
RNAcentral lists this ribosomal RNA (251 nucleotides) under uncultured bacterium. RNAcentral describes it as "partial 16S ribosomal RNA". It matches the Rfam family "Bacterial small subunit ribosomal RNA", at positions 524 to 774 of the family's 1533-position model. The record is from RNAcentral.